This 274-nucleotide ribosomal RNA is filed under the name uncultured bacterium. RNAcentral describes it as "partial 16S ribosomal RNA". It matches the Rfam family "Bacterial small subunit ribosomal RNA", at positions 523 to 796 of the family's 1533-position model. The record is from RNAcentral.
AUACGGAGGGUGCAAGCGUUAUCCGGAAUCACUGGGCGUAAAGGACGCGUAGGCGGGUUGGCAAGUCAGAUGUGAAAUCCUACAGCUUAACUGUAGAACUGCAUUUGAAACUGCUAACCUAGAGUAUGGGAGGGGGAGAUGGAAUUAGUGGUGUAGGGGUAAAAUCCGUAGAUAUCACUAGGAAUACCGAAAGCGAAGGCGAUCUCCUGGAACAUAACUGACGCUAAGGCGUGAAAGCGUGGGGAGCAAACAGGAUUAGAUACCCUAGUAGUCC